This is a non-coding RNA of Pantherophis guttatus, 660 nucleotides long. NCBI's taxonomy places the organism in Eukaryota, Metazoa, Chordata, Lepidosauria, Squamata, Colubridae. The record is from the annotation of a RefSeq genome assembly.
AUCCAAAUAAUUUUUUGAGGGUAGUACACCCCCAUUCUUCAUUGGGGAAAAAUGUGGCUGUGCCUUAUGUUCAUCAUCAUCAUUUCACUUUUAAGAGGAAGCACAGGACAGUCAGUGAAGCAAACAUCUGGCAUUGUGACUGUUGCUGAAGGACAAACUGUCUCUCUCAAUUGUUCCUACGAAGUACAGUUCAGUGGCAUGAAUUACCCCUUCUGGUACCUUCAGCAUCCUGGUCAGCCUCCGAAGCUCUUGUUGACCAGUUUUAACAAAAAUGCCCAAGGAUUCCAGGCUACUCAAGACGAACACGAUAAAAAGGGGACUUUCAACAUGCAGAAACAAGCCAUUGAGUUGAAGGACUCUGCUGUCUACUUCUGUGCUUUCACAGACACAAUGAGAGGAAGCAGAAGGGGAGCCAAUCAAAAACAGGAGAAAAAGAAUUAAGAGCAGAGACAGGACAAUUUUGCAAUAGUCAAGGAGUUGGGCCACUUGUCCAUGCGGAAAUCUUCUCAAGGCUUGAUAGUACAGUGGUCUACGCACCCUGUUAUUAACACAGCUGCCUGCAAUUUACUGCUGGUUCGAAUCUUUCCAAGGCUCAAGGUUGACUCAGCCUUCCAUCCUUUCUAAGGUAGGUGAAAUGAGGACCCAGUUUGUGGGGGCAAU